RNAcentral lists this ribosomal RNA (700 nucleotides) under uncultured bacterium. RNAcentral's name for it is "bacterial SSU rRNA". It matches the Rfam family "Bacterial small subunit ribosomal RNA", at positions 8 to 754 of the family's 1533-position model. The record is from RNAcentral.
AGAGUUUGAUCAUGGCUCAGAACGAACGCUGGCGGCAGGCCUAACACAUGCAAGUCGAACGCUGUAGCAAUACAGAGUGGCAGACGGGUGAGUAACGCGUGGGAACAUGCCCUUCGGUUCGGAAUAACUCAGGGAAACUUGAGCUAAUACCGGAUACGCCCUUAGGGGGAAAGAUUUAUUGCCGAAGGAUUGGCCCGCGUCCGAUUAGCUAGUGGGUGAGGUAAUGGCUCACCAAGGCGACGAUCGGUAGCUGGUCUGAGAGGAUGAUCAGCCACACUGGGACUGAGACACGGCCCAGACUCCUACGGGAGGCAGCAGUGGGGAAUAUUGGACAAUGGGCGCAAGCCUGAUCCAGCCAUGCCGCGUGAGUGAUGAAGGCCCUAGGGUUGUAAAGCUCUUUCGCCAGGGACGAUAAUGACGGUACCUGGAUAAGAAGCCCCGGCUAACUUCGUGCCAGCAGCCGCGGUAAUACGAAGGGGGCUAGCGUUGUUCGGAAUCACUGGGCGUAAAGCGCACGUAGGCGGAUCUUUAAGUCAGGGGUGAAAUCCCGAGGCUCAACCUCGGAACUGCCUUUGAUACUGGAGGUCUCGAGUCCGGGAGAGGUGAGUGGAACUGCGAGUGUAGAGGUGAAAUUCGUAGAUAUUCGCAAGAACACCAGUGGCGAAGGCGGCUCACUGGCCCGGUACUGACGCUGAGGUGC